UACGUAGGGUGCAAGCGUUGUUCGGAAUUACUGGGCGUAAAGGGCUCGUAGGCGGCCAACUAAGUCAGACGUGAAAUCCCUCGGCUUAACCGGGGAACUGCGUCUGAUACUGGAUGGCUGGAGUUUGGGAGAGGGAUGCGGAAUUCCAGGUGUAGCGGUGAAAUGCGUAGAUAUCUGGAGGAACACCGGUGGCGAAGGCGGCAUCCUGGACCAAUACUGACGCUGAGGAGCGAAAGCCGGGGGAGCAAACGGG
This 253-nucleotide ribosomal RNA is filed under the name uncultured bacterium. Its description in RNAcentral is "partial 16S ribosomal RNA". It matches the Rfam family "Bacterial small subunit ribosomal RNA", at positions 524 to 776 of the family's 1533-position model. The record is from RNAcentral.